Molecule: long non-coding RNA, 2384 nt
Organism: Motacilla alba alba
Lineage: Eukaryota; Metazoa; Chordata; Aves; Passeriformes; Motacillidae
Exons: 5
Source: RefSeq, a predicted model, not a curated record
UGCAGUGGGGCUGUGAUGACUCACUCAGAUGUAGGAGUCUACAGCUGGUCUGAUGAAUGCUGCCUGGAGUCUCUUGAAGCACUCAUCAGGGAUGUCCCCAGUGCCAGCAAACAGAGCUGACUGAAGACAAGCCAUUCAACUAAGAAGUUUCUGACACAGUAAGAAUGCUCAUGCUUACAUUCUGUUUAAGAAAAAAAAAGGAAAAAGAAGAUAUGAGAGAUGAGAAGGGAUAAGAGAGAAGGAUGAAGGAAGAAAGAAGUAAGAAAGAAAAGUAAGAAAGAAGAGGCCUCCAAUUCCAGCUAUGUACUUAUUAAACAAUAUCAAAUGAAAACUGAGAAGGGAAAGACAAGGAGAAUGAAUACAUGGCAAAAAUUCAACUACCAGGUGAAGUGGCUUAGACUGUGACCCACCAGCCUUUUUGUGGCAGAGAAGCUCCAGGGCAAAUGCCUUCCCUCAACACCUCUCUCUGUCCAGCUGCACAGCCCUCUCCCCUCCAAUAACUUUAACAAGUUUUUAAACACCUCAUUCAGGCAGAGACACCAACUUGUCAGUGAUUUAUUUAGCUGGGGUUCUGAAAUCUACCCUGAGUGCUUGCAGUCAUUUUUGUGGUCCACCCACACCUGUUCUGGAUAUUUUCUUCACUUUACCUUCUCAGUAUUUUCUCUUGAUCCAUUUGCUUCUCUGCCCCUUUCAUGAGUACAAGAUUUCAUGUGAACAGCCAACAACCACUACCCAGGUGCUUCUUGCUGGUACUUUGUGAGAUGCUGGAGUUGAGACCCUUGAUAUAUUCCAGAAAGGAGCUGAAUUACUUAAAAGAGAUUUUAGAUAAAUGAAUACAGACAUCCUAACUGGUGAAUGGGUAUAUUUUGAGAGCAUGUUUUCUGUUGCUGGGGAUGAAGGUGGUGAGGAUGAAGAUGAGCCUGCCUGACAGCUGCAUCACUGUCUCUCCACGUCUGUGGAGAGGGAACAUCUUGCAACAAUUGCACGGCUUUGCAGUGUGCUCCACAGGAAAGCAAGUGCAGCAGAGAUGUAUUUCUAUCUGUCAUACAAUUUGCCCGGAAAUCCUUUGCUGUGAGUCCUGGUGUGCAGCAUUCAGCCUUUGCAUGCCUGUGCAGUGGCAAAAGGUUUGAUGUAGCUGUAAAAGCACUGGGAAACAUACAGGAAGAAAAGAUAACUGUGUGCUGCAAUACAGAAGACCAGAAAACAGUGCUGAAGGUUGCUAGAGAUUUGCAGACUAUUGUAGUGCACUGAAUUUCCCCACCCCCCUGCGCACAUGAUGACUCUCUGGGAAGUUCAAAUUAGUAUGCAUUUUAUCAGCCCCUAUUCUUUAAUAAUGUGUCUUUUGAGAGGGACAGCUGGAUCCAAGGCAAUCCCAUCAAUCCACACUGACAGCUGUGGCUGUGAUAUUUACUCCUCUCACUCUUGCCUGCACUUGCAGACCUCAUGCCUGUGGAAUUGCACACCUAGUUUUAGGCUUCCAAAUUUGAAAUGUUUGACAGCAGGAGAUUGGUGAGAUUUGCUAUCAUUAGAAGGAUCUAGGAACAGUCACAGGUGACAGCUCUUGGACAUAUCUUCACUUCUGCCUCACUGAAGGGAGGCAAUAAACUGACACCCCUUCAGUUGUAAGUCUGAUCCUUACACUGGCUGCCAAUUUGCUUAUAAAUGUUGAUAGUUUCAAGAGUUAAUAGUUACAUUAGCCCUUGGUGGAAAAUAUUGGCAGCGAUCUAUAAUAUUCCCAUGAUUAAGUCAGAAAAAGCCCACCUACUAUUAUCUCCAUUUCAUAAAUGCAUGAAUUUAGAGACCAUGCUGUCAUAUCAGUGAUAAUGUCAAGUAUGCAAACUGACCUUUCUUCCACAUCCAUUGCUAUGCUUCCUACUUCAGUGUUCGAUUUGUUGCAUUUUGUUGGCAAAGUAGAAAUCCUAAAUUAUUUUGAUCAUAAUCUCCACUCUUAACUAGUUUUUAAUCACAGAAUACCUUGUUCCUGUUAUGAAAGAAGGAUAUCACAGCACAAACUUUGGAAGCCAGUAAAUAAAGUUACAUUUUUUUUUCCUUAGAAACCUUCCAUGGGUAUGUUUUGUUCAAAAAGUAAUUAAAAAGGAUUUUAUAUGUUAAUUUGUUUAUGAAAUCAUGUUUUGGAUCAUGCAACAAUCUCAAAAGAAACAAUUUGUUACUGCUGCCUGUUUGGCAUGGAUCAGGCCACAUCUGGCAGACUGUGUCCAGCUCUGGGCUCCCAGUACAGGAGGGUGUUGUGAUGCACUAGAUUGUUAUUUGGAUGCUGCACUGGGUGUUGUGUUAUACAAAUGUUUCCCCCCUUUCCUCAGAUGGUGUAUCCCUCAGAUAAGGUGGUCUGUCGCCUGUAGCUCCUCCUUUUGUCCCUCCUCACU